This 160-nucleotide ribosomal RNA is filed under the name uncultured Desulfocapsa sp. Its description in RNAcentral is "partial 16S ribosomal RNA". It matches the Rfam family "Bacterial small subunit ribosomal RNA", at positions 1223 to 1382 of the family's 1533-position model. Lineage: Bacteria; Pseudomonadati; Thermodesulfobacteriota; Desulfobulbia; Desulfobulbales; Desulfocapsaceae. The record is from RNAcentral.
UACUACAAUGGCAGGUACAAAGGGCAGCGACACAGCGAUGUGAUGCGAAUCCCGAAAAGCCUGUCUCAGUCCGGAUCGGAGUCUGCAACUCGACUCCGUGAAGUUGGAAUCGCUAGUAAUCGUGGAUCAGCAUGCCACGGUGAAUACGUUCCCGGGCCUU